Molecule: unclassified non-coding RNA, 262 nt
Filed under: plant metagenome
Description: partial contains small subunit ribosomal RNA, internal transcribed spacer 1, and 5.8S ribosomal RNA
Source: RNAcentral
UUUCCGUAGGUGAACCUGCGGAAGGAUCAUUAUUGUAUAACCGAGGUGCGAGGGCUGUCGCUGACCCGAAAGGUCGUGCACGCCCGAGUGCCCUCACACACAUCCAUCUCACCCCUAUGUGCACCACCGCGUGGGUCCCCCAUUGGCUUGUUCGGAGGGGGGCUUACGUUUUCACACAAACUUUGUAUGCAGUGUAGAAUGUAUUUUUGUUUUUGCGAUCACGCAAUCAAUACAACUUUCAACAACGGAUCUCUUGGCUCUC